This 676-nucleotide long non-coding RNA is filed under the name Bos taurus (domestic cattle). RNAcentral describes it as "long non-coding RNA NONBTAT019159". Lineage: Eukaryota; Metazoa; Chordata; Mammalia; Artiodactyla; Bovidae. The record is from RNAcentral.
GACACAACUGGCCUGGUUCCCUAGCUGAUGGGAGGCAGGGCCCCUGAUACUCACUUGCUUUGCUCAGAACCUUCCCCGAAGGAGGGGCUGAGCCCAGGGAGGGGGCAUCAGGGAUGCACUGGGCAGGGACCAGAUGCCACAGACUUACGCUCAUGUUCAUAAAAACGUGCCACACAGCAGUUCUAAAGUCAUCACUGUGAUGUACCAGGUACGUUAGCAGAAAGGGCUUCAUUUAGGGACCAAGAUUGCCCACACACCUUGCCCUCCAGCUUUCUAAAAUUUCCCAUGAUGGAACAUGGCAAGUGUCACAAAUGGAAACCAUCUCCAAGUCCAGAAUUGUCAAGGAAAAGUUUUCAGGAGUUCAGGAGCUAAGAAGACUCCAGGAAGCUUCUAGCAGGCGAUAACCAGGGGCCACCCCUAUGUGUGAUAGUACAGUGCUUCCUCCUCCAGCGACUCCUCCAGUGAUCAGGCUUGUUCACUGAUGACCGCUUCCAAGGCAGUUGUAAGCAAAAAGGAUCCAUUAGCUGUGUCUGGAGAAGUCAGCUAUUUUUACCUACUGGAGUGAAAAACAGUUUUCUCUCUUGAUAUCCGUAUGUGAUUUUUUGUGAAAAAAAUAAAAUCACAUUUUAUUUCUUAUCAUUUGCCUAAAGUCAAAUAAAAGGUCACUCUAUCUUUU